CCUACGGGAGGCUGCAGUGAGGAAUAUUGGUCAAUGGACGAGAGUCUGAACCAGCCAAGUAGCGUGAAGGAUGACUGCCCUAUGGGUUGUAAACUUCUUUUAUAUGGGAAUAAAACGUUCCACGUGUGGGAUUUUGUAUGUACCAUAUGAAUAAGGAUCGGCUAACUCCGUGCCAGCAGCCGCGGUAAUACGGAGGAUCCGAGCGUUAUCCGGAUUUAUUGGGUUUAAAGGGAGCGUAGGUGGAUUGUUAAGUCAGUUGUGAAAGUUUGCGGCUCAACCGUAAAAUUGCAGUUGAAACUGGCAGUCUUGAGUACAGUAGAGGUGGGCGGAAUUUGUGGUGUAGCGGUGAAAUGCUUAGAUAUCACGAAGAACUCCGAUUGCGAAGGCAGUUCACUGGACUGCAACUGACACUGAGGAUCGAAAGUGUGGGUAUCAAACAGGAUUAGAUACCCUUGUAGUC
Molecule: ribosomal RNA, 460 nt
Filed under: uncultured bacterium
Lineage: Bacteria
Description: partial 16S ribosomal RNA
Rfam family: Bacterial small subunit ribosomal RNA
Source: RNAcentral